RNAcentral lists this ribosomal RNA (597 nucleotides) under Triticum aestivum (bread wheat). RNAcentral's name for it is "partial small subunit ribosomal RNA". The record is from RNAcentral. Lineage: Eukaryota; Viridiplantae; Streptophyta; Magnoliopsida; Poales; Poaceae.
AUGGCGGACGCCGCCGCCCAGAUCUACCAUCUCGUCGCGCCCCUCCUGCAGGAGGCGACGCGUGUCCUGCUCCAGCAGGCGGACCUGCUGAGGACGCUCCAGCCCCGGCUCCAGGCCUGCGUGAAGCCGGCGGCGGCGACGCUGGCGAGCCACCGGGCGCAGGAGCAGGGCGGCGCCCGCGUCCUGCGCACCAUCCUCGCCAACAUCUCCGACGCCGUGCCGCGGCUCGAGGUCGCGGCCGGCCACCUCGCCUCCGCGCUCAGCGUCGCCGUCUCGAACGGCGCCGCAAGGGACGCCCUCCACGUCCUCGACGCUGGCCUGUCGCACGACGAGAUCGCCGCCCAGCUGGUCGCGCUCCCGAGCGUGGACGGCGGCGACUACAGCGCGCAAGACGUCCCCAACUCCGUGCACGUCGCCCACACAUGCGUCCGGCUCGCCAUCGACCACUACCUCCACCGCUGCGCCUGGGUCCUCCGCCGCAUCAGCCUGAGCGAAACCCCCAUCGAGGACGCCCUCGGCUAUCUGGCAACCGCGUACGUGCUGGUGGAGGUGGCUUGGGCGCACACCUUCGACGCCGACCUGCACGGCCGGCCGUGA